CCCUUAGAUGUUCUGGGCCGCACGCGCGCUACACUGACGAAUGCAACGAGCUUAUAACCUUGGCCGAAAGGUCUGGGUAAUCUCCAAAUUUCGUCGUGAUGGGGAUAGAUUAUUGCAAUUAUUAAUCUUCAACGAGGAAUGCCUAGUAAGCGCAAGUCAUCAGCUUGCGUUGAUUACGUCCCUGCCCUUUGUACACACCGCCCGUCGCUCCUACCGAUUGAAUGGUCCGUUGAAGCGUUCGGACCGUGGCCUUUGGACGGUUCGCCGUCUGUUGGCUGCGGGAAGUUCGUUAAACCUUAUCAUUUAGAGGAAGGAGAAGUCGUAACA
This 327-nucleotide ribosomal RNA is filed under the name uncultured eukaryote. RNAcentral's name for it is "partial 18S ribosomal RNA". It matches the Rfam family "Eukaryotic small subunit ribosomal RNA", at positions 1470 to 1796 of the family's 1831-position model. The record is from RNAcentral.